RNAcentral lists this unclassified non-coding RNA (280 nucleotides) under Hevea brasiliensis (rubber tree). The record is from RNAcentral. Lineage: Eukaryota; Viridiplantae; Streptophyta; Magnoliopsida; Malpighiales; Euphorbiaceae.
GCCAACUUGAAUUAAUGAACAUGAAAAUUAUAUUCUAUAUGAUUAAUACUACUUAUUCAAGAAAUUCGAUUGAUUGAUACGGGUUGAUUUUCUAUUACGAUAAAUUGAUGAAACAAUAGCUAGUCCAAUAGCUGCUUCAGCGGCUGGGGGAGCUAUAACAAAAAUGGAAAAAAUAUUUCCUUUUAAUUGGCGGCUAUCAAAAAAAUCAGAAAAUGUUACGAAAUUUAGAUUAACUGCAUUCAGUAUAAGUUCAAGGCACAUAAGGGCUCUAACCAUAUUU